RNAcentral lists this ribosomal RNA (866 nucleotides) under Acinetobacter sp. INBio3079G. RNAcentral's name for it is "bacterial SSU rRNA". It matches the Rfam family "Bacterial small subunit ribosomal RNA", at positions 54 to 911 of the family's 1533-position model. Lineage: Bacteria; Pseudomonadati; Pseudomonadota; Gammaproteobacteria; Moraxellales; Moraxellaceae. The record is from RNAcentral.
CAUGCAAGUCGAGCGGGGGAGGUUGCUUCGGUAACUGACCUAGCGGCGGACGGGUGAGUAAUACUUAGGAAUCUGCCUAUUAAUGGGGGACAACAUCUCGAAAGGGAUGCUAAUACCGCAUACGCCCUACGGGGGAAAGCAGGGGAUCACUUGUGACCUUGCGUUAAUAGAUGAGCCUAAGUCGGAUUAGCUAGUUGGUGGGGUAAAGGCCUACCAAGGCGACGAUCUGUAGCGGGUCUGAGAGGAUGAUCCGCCACACUGGGACUGAGACACGGCCCAGACUCCUACGGGAGGCAGCAGUGGGGAAUAUUGGACAAUGGGGGGAACCCUGAUCCAGCCAUGCCGCGUGUGUGAAGAAGGCCUUAUGGUUGUAAAGCACUUUAAGCGAGGAGGAGGCUCUCUUGGUUAAUACCCAAGAAGAGUGGACGUUACUCGCAGAAUAAGCACCGGCUAACUCUGUGCCAGCAGCCGCGGUAAUACAGAGGGUGCGAGCGUUAAUCGGAUUUACUGGGCGUAAAGCGUGCGUAGGCGGCUUUUUAAGUCGGAUGUGAAAUCCCCGAGCUUAACUUGGGAAUUGCAUUCGAUACUGGGAAGCUAGAGUAUGGGAGAGGAUGGUAGAAUUCCAGGUGUAGCGGUGAAAUGCGUAGAGAUCUGGAGGAAUACCGAUGGCGAAGGCAGCCAUCUGGCCUAAUACUGACGCUGAGGUACGAAAGCAUGGGGAGCAAACAGGAUUAGAUACCCUGGUAGUCCAUGCCGUAAACGAUGUCUACUAGCCGUUGGGGCCUUUGAGGCUUUAGUGGCGCAGCUAACGCGAUAAGUAGACCGCCUGGGGGAGUACGGUCGCAAGACUAAAACUCAAAUGAAUU